UCUGAUCUCCACUGUGUGUUAUUACUGUCCCAGUGUUUGAAGUGUGUUCAGUCAGUCCGAUCUGCAGUGUGUGUGACUGGUCACUCAUAACUAUUAAUACAGGUUUUAAAAAAACUAAAUAUAGAUAAAUAUACAGUAUAGAUUUAUCUACAUUUUCCUAAAACAUACCUUCUGGGUUUAAAAGGAACAGAGUGUACAUUCUAUCGAUCUCAACUUCACAGGAGAGACUUAACUCUGAUUGUGUCUUUACAGCUUUUACUCCAGUACGUCACACUGAACACUAUGAAACUAGACCCACAGUUUCCAAACCAGUACGUCCUACUCAACCCAAGGAAACUAAAUCCACAGGUAAAAAGUUAAUUCCAAUAUUCACACAAGCAUCAGGUCACUAUCUUUCAGUACUGGCUUAGAAAGCACAUUUUGGCCCUGACCAACAACUGUUUGGAUAUCCUAAAAUUUCAAGCUACAUUUGGAGCACAAUACAAAAUGUGAGUCUGUUUCAAGCUAAAGUUCAAUAAAGGCAGUACUGUGACAUGUGUCUUCAUCACAGUGUCACUACUGUUUAUGUUUGUGAAGUGUGUUAAGUAAAUCUGAUCUCCACAGUAUCAUGCCAGUGUAUGAGAACUGCAUUCAUUGAAUCUUGUCUCCAUACGUCAUUACUGUCCCAGUGUGUGAAGUGUGUUCGGUCAGUCUGAUCUCCACUGUGUGUCAUUACUGUCCCAGUGUGUGAA
This 731-nucleotide long non-coding RNA is filed under the name Lepisosteus oculatus (spotted gar). Its description in RNAcentral is "lncRNA (ENSLOCG00000022089.1)". The record is from RNAcentral. Lineage: Eukaryota; Metazoa; Chordata; Actinopteri; Semionotiformes; Lepisosteidae.